GCCCCCUUCGUCUAGAGGCCCAGGAUACGUGGUUCUCAGCCAUGGGACAGGGGUUCGACUCCCCUAGGGGGUA
RNAcentral lists this transfer RNA (73 nucleotides) under Planctomycetota bacterium. RNAcentral's name for it is "Planctomycetes bacterium (groundwater metagenome) tRNA-Glu". It matches the Rfam family "tRNA". Rfam says of the family: Transfer RNA (tRNA) molecules are approximately 80 nucleotides in length. Their secondary structure includes four short double-helical elements and three loops (D, anti-codon, and T loops). Further hydrogen bonds mediate the characteristic L-shaped molecular structure. tRNAs have two regions of fundamental functional importance: the anti-codon, which is responsible for specific mRNA codon recognition, and the 3' end, to which the tRNAs corresponding amino acid is attached (by aminoacyl-tRNA synthetases). tRNAs cope with the degeneracy of the genetic code in two manners: having more than one tRNA (with a specific anti-codon) for a particular amino acid; and 'wobble' base-pairing, i.e. permitting non-standard base-pairing at the 3rd anti-codon position. The record is from RNAcentral. Lineage: Bacteria; Pseudomonadati; Planctomycetota.